GAUGAACGCUGGCGGCGUGCCUAAUACAUGCAAGUCGAGCGAACAGACGAGGAGCUUGCUCCUCUGACGUUAGCGGCGGACGGGUGAGUAACACGUGGAUAACCUACCUAUAAGACUGGGAUAACUUCGGGAAACCGGAGCUAAUACCGGAUAAUAUAUUGAACCGCAUGGUUCAAUAGUGAAAGACGGUUUUGCUGUCACUUAUAGAUGGAUUCGCGCCGCAUUAGCUAGUUGGUAAGGUAACGCCUUACCAAGGCAACGAUGCGUAGCCGACCUGAGAGGGUGAUCGGCCACACUGGAACUGAGACACGGUCCAGACUCCUACGGGAGGCAGCAGUAGGGAAUCUUCCGCAAUGGGCGAAAGCCUGACGGAGCAACGCCGCGUGAGUGAUGAAGGUCUUCGGAUCGUAAAACUCUGUUAUUAGGGAAGAACAAAUGUGUAAGUAACUAUGCACGUCUUGACGGUACCUAAUCAGAAAGCCACGGCUAACUACGUG
RNAcentral lists this ribosomal RNA (497 nucleotides) under uncultured bacterium. Its description in RNAcentral is "partial 16S ribosomal RNA". It matches the Rfam family "Bacterial small subunit ribosomal RNA", at positions 28 to 507 of the family's 1533-position model. The record is from RNAcentral.